This 215-nucleotide long non-coding RNA is filed under the name Elaeis guineensis (African oil palm). Its description in RNAcentral is "long non-coding RNA (EGUI_LNC015027)". Lineage: Eukaryota; Viridiplantae; Streptophyta; Magnoliopsida; Arecales; Arecaceae. The record is from RNAcentral.
GAUCACACUUAGUAUCGUUGUUCUCAACAACCACCUGCACUCUUACUCCAGUAUUCCUAUACUAUAGAUUCAAGAUUCAUCUAUCCAAAGAAAAUGAUCUGUGCACUAGUCUGGUCAGAUCAAUCAUCAUCCUCGUGAUGAUCAUUGAUUAGAAAUAAUUUAGAAAUUAAUCUAAUAAUGACACAUGUCUUAAAUUCUCAACUCUUGAGAAUAUG